RNAcentral lists this ribosomal RNA (357 nucleotides) under Triticum aestivum (bread wheat). RNAcentral describes it as "partial small subunit ribosomal RNA". Lineage: Eukaryota; Viridiplantae; Streptophyta; Magnoliopsida; Poales; Poaceae. The record is from RNAcentral.
AUGGAGGAGGCUGGUGGUGCUGCAUCCCCCGAGAGGUUGAGGUUCGACCCGUAUGAGGGGUAUGGGAUCAAGAAGCAGAUGAUGGUGAAGAUGGACCAGCGAAACAGCUACAUCAAGUGGCUGCUCGAGUGGGACAAGAAGCCCCGCCCUCCCCUGCCCAACCUGCCCGAGGAGUCCCGCGAGGCCAUGGACACCAUCAAGGCCGAGCGUGACCACCACGAGAGGGUCCUCGCCGACUUCAAGCGCGACGGCCACGCCUACGUCCAGAUCGAUGUCUUCAACGACGACGACCCAAGGACCAAACUCCCCGACGACCAGUACGACAUCCUCCACUAUGACAGCGACGAAGAAGCUUGA